ACACGACUACAUUAGAUACCCCCGGUAGUCCUAGCCGUAAACGAUACUCGCUAGGUGUCGGCCACGGUGCGACCGUUGUCGGUGCCGUAGGGAAGCCGUGAAGCGAGCCACCUGGGAAGUACGGCCGCAAGGCUGAAACUUAAAGGAAUUGGCGGGGAGCACAACAACGGGCGGAGCUUGCGGUUUAAUUGGACUCAACGCCGGAAACUCAUCGGGAGCGACAGCAGUAUGAUUGCCAGGUUGAUGACCUUGCUUGACAAGCUG
This 264-nucleotide ribosomal RNA is filed under the name uncultured archaeon. RNAcentral describes it as "partial 16S ribosomal RNA". It matches the Rfam family "Archaeal small subunit ribosomal RNA", at positions 717 to 982 of the family's 1478-position model. The record is from RNAcentral.